UACGUAGGGUGCAAGCGUUGUCCGGAAUUAUUGGGCGUAAAGAGCUCGUAGGCGGUUUGUCGCGUCUGCUGUGAAAAUCCAGGGCUUAACCCUGGACCUGCAGUGGGUACGGGCAGACUGGAGUGCGGUAGGGGAGAUCGGAAUUCCUGGUGUAGCGGUGAAAUGCGCAGAUAUCAGGAGGAACACCGGUGGCGAAGGCGGAUCUCUGGACAGUUCCUGACGCUGAGGCACGAAGGUCAGGGGAGCAAACGGG
This 253-nucleotide ribosomal RNA is filed under the name uncultured bacterium. RNAcentral describes it as "partial 16S ribosomal RNA". It matches the Rfam family "Bacterial small subunit ribosomal RNA", at positions 524 to 776 of the family's 1533-position model. The record is from RNAcentral.